GAUGAACGCUGGCGGCGUGCCUAAUACAUGCAAGUCGAGCGAACAGACGAGGAGCUUGCUCCUCUGACGUUAGCGGCGGACGGGUGAGUAACACGUGGAUAACCUACCUAUAAGACUGGGAUAACUUCGGGAAACCGGAGCUAAUACCGGAUAACAUGUUGAACCGCAUGGUUCAACAGUGAAAGACGGUCUUGCUGUCGCUUAUAGAUGGAUCCGCGCCGCAUUAGCUAGUUGGUAAGGUAACGGCUUACCAAGGCAACGAUGCGUAGCCGACCUGAGAGGGUGAUCGGCCACACUGGAACUGAGACACGGUCCAGACUCCUACGGGAGGCAGCAGUAGGGAAUCUUCCGCAAUGGGCGAAAGCCUGACGGAGCAACGCCGCGUGAGUGAAGAAGGUCUUCGGAUCGUAAAACUCUGUUAUUAGGGAAGAAAAAAUGUGUAAGUAACUAUGCACGUCUUGACGGUACCUAAUCAGAAAGCCACGGCUAACUACGUG
This 497-nucleotide ribosomal RNA is filed under the name uncultured bacterium. RNAcentral describes it as "partial 16S ribosomal RNA". It matches the Rfam family "Bacterial small subunit ribosomal RNA", at positions 28 to 507 of the family's 1533-position model. The record is from RNAcentral.